Molecule: non-coding RNA, 136 nt
Organism: Triticum aestivum (bread wheat)
Lineage: Eukaryota; Viridiplantae; Streptophyta; Magnoliopsida; Poales; Poaceae
Source: Rfam
AUUCUACUCCCACUGUUCCACAAUACAUGCCUUCUAUUUGUCAAAAUAUAGAUGUAUCUAGACAUGUUUUAGUAUAUAGGUACAUCCAUUUUUGGACAAAUGGAAGUCAAGUAUUUUGGAACGGAGGGAGUACACA